CAACAAUUCAACGUGGGAAGUCUCGCUGAGGAAGUACCAGGCCAUAAAUUUCCUCCAACAAGAGCCACCUAUCAAGCUGAGCCUUGUUAAGAAGCUUCCCAGAUAUUAAUCACGAGGGAAGGAGCUGCUGGACCCCUGCGCCGCCAGAAUGGAGCAGGAGGAGGCGGCACAGGGAGCUUUCUCCCUCUUUUACCCCUGAAAUGUCGGAGAUCUUCAGAGCACCUCAGAACGCUCUGAAAUCCAGCCCGGCUCACCCUGGGGCUGCUCAGCCCCUCCCAGAGGACACAGCCUCGGGAAAAUCCUGGGAAAGCCUCGGAAAAGUCCUGGGAAAGCCUCGGAGCGGGGCGGAAUUACCGAGGAUUGCACCCCGGAGUCGGUGGUGGCUGCUGCUGUGUCCCAGGAAGAGGCACACCCCUGUUUGGGGAUGUUUGCGUCCCAAAAUCCCCAAAUUCCAGAGCCCCCCCCGUCCCAGCUGUGCCCUGUCCCCACCUUGUCCCCACCCAGAGCUCCCAGAGCUCACAGAGGAUAAAAACUGAGAAUGAUUUCAUUUUAUCUGUGAAUUGUUUCCUGGUGGUAACUCGGGGAAAUCUGGGAUUGCUGGGAUGGAAACUGACCUCAUGCUGGGCACAAAAAAAAUUCCAUUUUUUCCACCUCCCUGGAGCAGCACCUGCUCCUCCCUCACAGCAGAACUGUCCUGACAGUGGAAUGAAAGGAAAACCAGGAGCAAACCAUCCUGCCCGGCUUUAUCUUGGAGCUGAAUUCUGGCCACUUCAAAACUCUGGUUUUCCUUUAGCAAAAACCCUCUUUGCCCAUUUUUAUGCUUUUCAUCAGCAACCCCAAGCUCCAUCUACCCCUACGAAAAUACACUUUGCAGGCCCAAAAGACGGAAAAAAUGUAAAUAAAUCGACCCCCAGCGUGGAGUUUUCAAUGGGCCGUGUGGAAUUCCCAAAGGAUUUAACUUCUCCUGCUCCCCCAAAAACCUGCUGCCCCAAAAAAACCCUCCUUGAAUCCCUGGAAAUGGCUGCAGGAAUUUGUCCUGGGUGGUGGCAGUGGCACUGCCCUGGCACCAGCAGGGAGCUCCCACUGAGGAUUUUUUGGGGUUGGGCCGGUGGUCUCAGCAGGCAAGGACACAGAUCCCACUAAAAAUAAUCCCAAACUCAGAUUUUCGGAUAUAAGUACCAACACCAUCGUGCUGGAAGAGGAAGACUCUGCAAGGCCAAGUGUUGGUUUCUCAGCAGGAGAAUCCAUUUAAAAGUAAAAAAAA
RNAcentral lists this long non-coding RNA (1264 nucleotides) under Ficedula albicollis (Collared flycatcher). RNAcentral describes it as "lncRNA (ENSFALG00000028084.1)". Lineage: Eukaryota; Metazoa; Chordata; Aves; Passeriformes; Muscicapidae. The record is from RNAcentral.